UGGGGAAUCUUGGACAAUGGGCGCAAGCCUGAUCCAGCCAUGCCGCGUGAGUGAUGAAGGCCUUAGGGUUGUAAAGCUCUUUUUGCCGGGGACGAUAAUGACGGUACCCGGAGAAUAAGUCCCGGCUAACUUCGUGCCAGCAGCCGCGGUAAUACGAAGGGGACUAGCGUUGUUCGGAAUCACUGGGCGUAAAGCGCACGUAGGCGGAUUUGUAAGUCAGGGGUGAAAUCCCGGGGCUCAACCUCGGAACUGCCUUUGAUACUGCGGAUCUCGAGUCCGAUAGAGGUGAGUGGAAUUCCUAGUGUAGAGGUGAAAUUCGUAGAUAUUAGGAAGAACACCGGUGGCGAAGGCGGCUCACUGGAAUCGGUACUGACGCUGAGGUGCGAAAGCGUGGGGAGCAAACAGGAUUAGAUACCCCGGUAGUCCCUGAGCGGGCUGGCAAGGCGCAU
Molecule: ribosomal RNA, 449 nt
Filed under: uncultured bacterium
Lineage: Bacteria
Description: bacterial SSU rRNA
Rfam family: Bacterial small subunit ribosomal RNA
Source: RNAcentral